UCGGGAAUAUUGCCCAAUGGCCGAAAGGCUGAGGCAGCAACGCCGCGUGCGGGAUGACGGCCUUCGGGUUGUAAACCGCUUUUCGGGCGGACGAGGAAGGACGGUACGCCCGGAAUAAGGUGCGGCUAACUACGUGCCAGCAGCCGCGGUAAAACGUAGGCACCAAGCGUUAUCCGGAUUUACUGGGCGUAAAGCGCGGUCAGGCGGCCGACCAAGUCGGGCAUGAAAGCGCACGGCUCAACCGUGCGAGGCUGUCCGAUACUGGCCGGCUUGAGGGCAGGAGAGGGUGGUGGAAUUCCGGGUGUAGUGGUGAAAUGCGUAGAGAUCCGGAGGAACACCAGUGGCGAAGGCGGCCACCUGGCCUGCCCCUGACGCUGCCCCGCGACAGCUCGGGGAGCGAACGGGAUUAGAAACCCCGGUAGUCCGAGCCGUAAACGAUGUGGACUGGGUGUCGGGAGUCACAAACUCUCGGUGCCGUAGCCAACGCGAUAAGUCCACCGCCUGGGGACUACGGCCGCAAGGUUAA
Molecule: ribosomal RNA, 526 nt
Filed under: uncultured Anaerolineaceae bacterium
Lineage: Bacteria; Bacillati; Chloroflexota; Anaerolineae; Anaerolineales; Anaerolineaceae
Description: bacterial SSU rRNA
Rfam family: Bacterial small subunit ribosomal RNA
Source: RNAcentral